Molecule: long non-coding RNA, 109 nt
Organism: Amblyraja radiata (thorny skate)
Lineage: Eukaryota; Metazoa; Chordata; Chondrichthyes; Rajiformes; Rajidae
Exons: 3
Source: RefSeq, a predicted model, not a curated record
CGGUCCUCCAGGCCGGUCCUCCAGGCGAGUGGUGACGUGAGCUUUGGGCGGGAACAAGAUGAAGAUGAACCGGCGCUGAGACCCCGGACCCUGACCUGCAGCUCCGUUG